This 1392-nucleotide long non-coding RNA is filed under the name Homo sapiens (human). RNAcentral describes it as "HSALNT0006606". Lineage: Eukaryota; Metazoa; Chordata; Mammalia; Primates; Hominidae. The record is from RNAcentral.
GUGUGGGCAGGAACAGUCCAGGGUCUGUCAGUCAAGGUCAGUACUAACAGUGUUAGGAACUGGGUACAACUUGAGGGAGCUUGCAGCAGGUCAGAUUCUCCAUGAAGCAAAAACUGAAGAGGAAAUUAGCACUCAGGAUGUUUAAGGAACACUCCUGGGUUCAAACCUGCUGAAGGAGGAGAAAGAAGUAGGAGUUGAUGAAGGAAAAAGUAAACUGUGAUGCAAAACUAAGGGUACCCUUGUUACACCCUUAGGGAGCUCUGGAGCUAGAAUGGCUUUUCAGAGCUGUCCUAAGUUGGGCCGAGAUAACCAGGCCUUUAUACUCCUUCCUAUAUGAAUCAGCCGUUGGAUGUAGAGUCCUUAGGAAGGAACACAACAUUGGCUGUGUACCUCUCCGUAUAUGAAGCAAUCCCUGAAGAGGCUUACAGCUGAAGGCUGUCUGCCGAGUACACUCCCAGGAACUGGGGCAAUAUGUCGUCUUCAAAGGAGAAUCUGGAUGGUGCAUCAUUGUGUCCACCACAGAUCUCAAGAUCACCAAAUCCGGACUGGCAAUGCAUAAGAGGCAUGAAGUUCUGACAUCCUAAACUCAAAUGGCAGGGAAAAAAAAACACUGCCAUCUAUUCUGACCUCUGAAGUCACCAUGCCCAUUAACUGAGGAUGAAGAAGACAGAAGGAAUACUGAAUGUCUGAAGAGAGAGAAAACGUUAUAAAAUUAUCCUUUCAAAAGAUGGAAGAAUAAAUUCACUUGGCAAAUGUGAUAUGGACUCACCUGAGGUUUGAAGUCAUCCAAAAAGAAACCAAAAAUCAUGGUUUUGAGAUUUUGUCCAAAUUCCUUCAUUAUCUCAGCACUGCACUAGGAUACUAAUGAGUUUUCGGGAACAGAAAACCCAAUGGAAUAUUAAAAUUGGAAAGAAGAGCUCCUUGAGUUAAUUUCACUGAAGUGCAUCACAACACACUGCACUGUUGUAAGAAUGAAUAUUCAAAUAGGAAUCCAGUCAUGGGAAAAUUAAUUAAGGAAAAUGUUAUUGCUAAUAUUUCUUUUUAUGAAUAUACAUAUGCGGAGACACACAACCAUCUAUUGGCUCCACACUGACAAUAAUAAAAGCCAAACAUUUAUGAGAGUCAAAUGUUCAAGAUCUCUUGCUGAGUUGGUGUUAAAAGAUUUUAAAUAAAAAAAUUAUGAUUCCAGAGAAUUGUUUCUAAAAGACAAAUCAUGUCAUGUCACUCCUUUGCUUAAAAUUCUUCAAUGGAUCCAAAACAUUCUUCAGAAUAAAGUCAAAAUCAUCAGGGAAUUCAAGGCCCUUCACUAUGCGGCUCAUGCAUACUUCCCCUCAUUUCACCUACUGCAUUCUCCUAAAUACAUUGUGCUCUUGCAAAUCUCUGUCUUUGAAC